UAUGUGAUCGUCUCUCGCAUAUCAAUAAGCGGAGGAAAAGAAACUAACAAGGAUUCCCCUAGUAACGGCGAGUGAAGCGGGAAGAGCUCAAAUUUGAAAUCUUAAAGGGUUCCCUUUACGAAUUGUAGUUUAAAGAAGUGUUUUCUGUUGAGGUUUUGGUAAGAGUUCUUUGGAAUAGGACAUCAUAGAGGGUGAGAAUCCCGUAUUUGACCUUUACUUUCAACUUUGUGAUACACUUUCAAAGAGUCGGAUUGUUUGGGAAUGCAGUCCAAAAUGGGUGGUAAAUUUCAGCUAAAGCUAAAUAUUGGCGAGAGACCGAUAGCGAACAAGUACCGUGAGGGAAAGAUGAAAAGAACUUUGAAAAGAGAGUUAAACAGUACGUGAAAUUGUCAAAGGGAAGCGUUUGACACCAGUGUUGUUUUUCUGAAAAUCAAUUAAAGAACUGUUUAUGCUAAGUUGUUUAGACUUUAUCAGCUAUCUGUUUAGUUUUGAGCUUUUCUUUAAUGCACUUUUCAGUUAACAAGUCAACAUCAAUUUCUUUUGCUGUAAAAAAGCUUGAGGAAGGUGGCUUGAGAUUCGUCUUAAGUGUUUAUAGCCUCUUGCCUAUGCAGUCGGAGAGAUUGAGGUCUGCAGCGUAGAUCCUUCGGGGCUAAAUGCAUUUGUGCUAAGUUAUAGCAUUUUAUAGACAACUUGUUGACUAUGAUUUGUCUUGUAGCUUACUCGCUUAUGUUAUUUUACCUACGCUUAGGAUGUUGACUGAUAUGUAGUCGUA
RNAcentral lists this ribosomal RNA (772 nucleotides) under uncultured Neocallimastigales. RNAcentral's name for it is "partial large subunit ribosomal RNA". It matches the Rfam family "Eukaryotic large subunit ribosomal RNA", at positions 24 to 644 of the family's 3401-position model. Lineage: Eukaryota; Fungi; Neocallimastigomycota; Neocallimastigomycetes; Neocallimastigales. The record is from RNAcentral.